ACAUACGACCAUAGGGUGUGGAGAACAGGGCUUCCGUCCGCUCAGCCGUACUUAAGCCACACGCCGGGAGGUUAGUAGUUGGGUGGGUGACCACCAGCGAAUCCCUCCUGUUGUAUGUU
Molecule: ribosomal RNA, 119 nt
Filed under: Aspergillus parasiticus SU-1
Lineage: Eukaryota; Fungi; Ascomycota; Eurotiomycetes; Eurotiales; Aspergillaceae
Source: RNAcentral